AAGUCGUAACAAGGUUUCCGUAGGUGAACCUGCGGAAGGAUCAUUAAUGAAACUUCAAAGUCGGCUUGUUUCCUGUUCUAUGCUGGUGGGGAGACCCACAUGUGCACGUCGGGACGAGUCGCAAAUCCACACACACCUGUGCAUCUUAUGACUCUGAGUACCGCUUUGCGUGGCUCCUCACCGGGCCUGGUAUUCGAGUAACUUUUACACACUCUGAAUGUAAUGGAAUGUCUAUUGUGCAUAAUGUACAACUUAAAACAACUUUCAACAACGGAUCUCUUGGCUCUCGCAUCGAUGAAGAACGCAGCGAAAUGCGAUAAGUAAUGUGAAUUGCAGAAUUUAGUGAAUCAUCGAAUCUUUGAACGCACCUUGCACCCUUUGGUAUUCCGAAGGGUACACCCGUUUGAGUGUCAUUGUAAUCUCACCUCUUCGACUUUUUUUAUGGUCGAUCAGUGUGGACUUGGAUGUUGCUGUGUAACAAACGGCUCGUCUGAAAUGCCUUAGUGUACCCUGCUUUUGUGGCGUAUUCGGUGUGAUAAAUCUUCACCGGAGUUUUGACCUUUUGGUCAGCGCUUGUAUUGUAUGGCUCUAUGCUUCCAACCGUCCCUAACAAGGACAACUACUCUGACAAUUUGACCUCAAAUCGGGUGGGACUACCCGCUGAACUUAA
RNAcentral lists this ribosomal RNA (670 nucleotides) under uncultured fungus. RNAcentral describes it as "eukaryotic LSU rRNA". The stretch from base 260 to 413 matches the Rfam family "5.8S ribosomal RNA". The record is from RNAcentral. Lineage: Eukaryota; Fungi.